Pogona vitticeps (central bearded dragon) is the source of this 486-nucleotide non-coding RNA. NCBI's taxonomy places the organism in Eukaryota, Metazoa, Chordata, Lepidosauria, Squamata, Agamidae. The record is from RefSeq and is a predicted model, not a curated record.
GCAAAACUCAGCGUGCUUAAAGUAUUUUUGAGUCGUAUUUGAGCACACUUGUGGGUGUUACCGAGAGAGAGAAAAUGAUAAAGGUAGCUGACAAGUGCUUUCUUAAAAGGCUGGAAAAAGCAGACUCUAUUCAAUACUGUGAACCUUAAAAAAUGGAAGAGGCCCAGUGUUCUCUCAACUUCGAAGAAGCCCUCAGUCUAAGCCCUCAGCAACCUUCAUCCAAAGGAAACCAAAGCUGGAAAAAUAUCUGUGAAAAUUCCCAGUCAUCCAGAACAGGCACUGAAAGCCGCUAAUGAAGAUAAGAGACGGCUAUCAAUGCAGGAAAUGCAGUUCUGAACCUAAACACACACAGGCAGACACUCCCAUGAAAGAAGAAUUAAAACUGAACAAGAAGGAUGACAGAAACAGAGGAGAACAGCUUGGUUUUCUGCCCCAUCCUAAAAGCCGUGAUCAAAAGGCUUCAGUACAGUGGGGUCUUGACUUGAG